Ictalurus punctatus (channel catfish) is the source of this 1132-nucleotide long non-coding RNA. NCBI's taxonomy places the organism in Eukaryota, Metazoa, Chordata, Actinopteri, Siluriformes, Ictaluridae. The record is from Ensembl.
GGCAGAGACAAAAUGUAACUGAGUGUAUUGCUUCACAAAGACAUUGUGUAUGAGAGUCUCUUUUAUGUGUGGUGUGAUUGUGAGUAUAAUUGGGAACAGGUCUCUCAGAUUAGUCCUCAGGAAAAGGUGACGUGUCUGUGUGUAGUUUUGUGAGUUGUAGUCGUUGGCCAUGAUUGUAGUGUGCAAUGCAUUCUGAAAAAUGGAGUCAUGAGUUUACCAUGAUAUGACAGUACAUAUAAAUAUGUGAGCAUUGCAUCCACCCAUUAUCCCAUUCGUUUGACAUAUAGGAUCUGAUACGUUUUUAAAUACACAUCAGUAUAUUUUAUCACAAUGUGGAUGUGAAUCAUUCAUUUGUAUCGUUCUUUCUCCCUCUCUGUUCUUCUCUGUCUCUACCACAAAAUGACAGAAGAGACAACAACAGGUAAAGUUUCACUGACAGUGUGUAUGUAUAAACGUGUGAACAUUAACUCCACCCAUUAUCCCAUUCCUUCAACUUAUGAGAUCUGAUACAUUUUUAAAAGGAACCCUGACACUGAAGACUUGUUGGCCUUAACACGCAGUAAUUGCCCUCUCCUACUAAAAUAAGUUGUUAGAAGCACAUGCAAUAUGUUAAUUACUUUAAAAAUCCUUUAUAUUUAAUACAUAUUUUAACCUGCCGAGGCCACCAUUACAUGACAUGCGCAGUGCGCUCUGAGUCCAUGACGUAAAAUGUUUGAGCACUCAAAAGAAUUAGCUACUAGCCCCAGCAACAUGAAAAUAAUGCCACACUGUGCUGCUUUUGGCUGUAAUUUUCUAGGUCUUGUGUGCUGUGAUAAAGGGAAUAUCUGUAAAUAUAAUCAAACCCGGGCACACGGUGGCACACGGUGGUUAGCACGUUCGCCUCACACCUCCAGGGUUGGGGGUUCGAUUCCCACCAUGGCCCUGUGUGUGCGGAGUUUGCAUGUUCUCCCCGUGCUGCGGGGGUUCCUCCGGGUAUUCCUGUUUCCUGCCCCAGUCCCAAAACAUGCAUGGUAGGCUGAUUGUCCAAAAGUCUCCGUGGUGUAUGAAUGGGUGCGUGAGUAUGUAUGUGAUUGUGCCCUGCAAUGGAUUGGCAACCUGUCCAGGGUGUACCCCACCUUGUGCCCAAUGCUCC